GAGUUUGAUCGUGGCUCAGGAUGAACGCUAGCGGCAGGCUUAACACAUGCAAGUCGAGGGGUAGAGUUAGCUUGCUAACUUGAGACCGGCGCACGGGUGCGUAACGCGUAUGCAAUCUACCUUGUACAGGGGGAUAGCCCAGAGAAAUUUGGAUUAAUACCCCAUAGUGUUAUGAUGUGGCAUCACAUUAUAACUAAAGUUCCAACGGUACAAGAUGAGCAUGCGUCCCAUUAGCUAGUUGGUGUGGUAACGGCAUACCAAGGCAACGAUGGGUAGGGGUCCUGAGAGGGAGAUCCCCCACACUGGUACUGAGACACGGACCAGACUCCUACGGGAGGCAGCAGUGAGGAAUAUUGGUCAAUGGGCGCAAGCCUGAACCAGCCAUGCCGCGUGCAGGAUGACGGUCCUAUGGAUUGUAAACUGCUUUUGUACAGGAAGAAACACUCCCUCGUGAGGGAGCUUGACGGUACUGUAAGAAUAAGGAUCGGCUAACUCCGUGCCAGCC
RNAcentral lists this ribosomal RNA (505 nucleotides) under uncultured Flavobacterium sp. RNAcentral's name for it is "bacterial SSU rRNA". It matches the Rfam family "Bacterial small subunit ribosomal RNA", at positions 9 to 513 of the family's 1533-position model. Lineage: Bacteria; Pseudomonadati; Bacteroidota; Flavobacteriia; Flavobacteriales; Flavobacteriaceae. The record is from RNAcentral.